Long non-coding RNA from Astatotilapia calliptera (eastern happy), 1123 nucleotides. The record is from Ensembl. NCBI's taxonomy places the organism in Eukaryota, Metazoa, Chordata, Actinopteri, Cichliformes, Cichlidae.
GCUGUUUAAAUAAAAUUAUAUGGUGGGGCUUUUGGUGAGAUGUACCUCAGAGAGCAACUAAGCAAAUAAGAGCAGAUGUUCUUACAUUUUUGGAUUUGUAAAUCCGUGAAACAAAUGUCUGGGAGUAAGGGAUAUAUCCUUGACUUGCUUAUAAUGAAUUUAACUGAGUGGCACAGAAAUAUGUGCUCUUUGCAUUGCAAAUCCUCAAACUAUCUUGUUAACCUAAGACCGCAGGCUGUGUGAAGCAUUUUGGAUGUGAUACCGAUGCAAUAUGUAAAAACACUCCAGUACAAGCAAAACUGAUGCAUUCUUAUUAUAAAUGUUGCAAAUGUGUUGCAUUUAUUUACAAAAAUAUAAUUGAUGGAAAUCAUGUCGAUCAUGCCACAUUUGGGGUUUUUUAUAUUGAACCGGUAUGCCAAUUUCACUCACUAGCUAGUGGAGGUAGAGAUAAUUAAACUUGCUCAAUUUUUGCCAACCUCCAAAGUGUAACCAAUUUCAAAUGUUCACUCCACUUCAAAAAGAUCUUGGUCUGUAAAAAAAAAAAAAAAAACAAUUAUCCCACACCUCGCUUGAUGUGACCUCACUAAACACUUUCCUAUUACAUUUAUAGUUUCAACCACUACUUUCAAGUCUUACUGAUAAUGGUAUGAUAAUGAUUUUAUAAAUUAUAGUCCCAUUAGAGUCAAAAAGGAGGAUGGAGUACACUGUUCUUUGGGUAACUGCCCUUUUUCGAGUUGCUAAGGCAUUACUGUAUUUUAUCAUGUUUCUUAGUUUUCAGUUAAAUCAUAAACCACUACCCCAUUUCCAAAAAACGUUAGAACACAUAAUGGAAAAAAAAAGAAAAAAUUCAUGUACCCAAUUUUUAUUCAUAACAAAACACAGAAAACACACAACUUAGAUAUUUGAGUAUUUCAUUUUGAAUGUGAUGGCAGCCUCGUAAGAAUUGUAACAGGCCCAUGUUUACCGCUGUGUAUCACAGUCCAUAAUGGUGCCUUUCCACAUAUGCAAGCUGCCAAUUCCAUAGAUAAUAAUGCGCCCCAAUACCACCACAGGUGCAGUCUUUUGAACUGAGCGCUAAUAAUGAGCCAAAUAGUGAUGUCCAUGUUUUUUGCCAAUCAGCAUA